Molecule: transfer RNA, 71 nt
Filed under: Marmota monax (woodchuck)
Lineage: Eukaryota; Metazoa; Chordata; Mammalia; Rodentia; Sciuridae
Description: tRNA.Ala
Source: RNAcentral
GGGGUUGUGGCUCAGUGGCAUAUUGCUCACCUAGCAUGUGCGAGGCCCUGAGUUUGAUCCUCAGCGCCACA